Molecule: ribosomal RNA, 468 nt
Filed under: uncultured bacterium
Lineage: Bacteria
Description: partial 16S ribosomal RNA
Rfam family: Bacterial small subunit ribosomal RNA
Source: RNAcentral
GACGAACGCUGGCGGCGUGCUUAACACAUGCAAGUCGAACGGAAAGGCCCUGCGUUUGUGGGUUGCUCGUGUGCCGAGCGGGGGAGUAACACGUGUGUAACCUACCCUUGACUUUGGGAUAUCUUUAGGAAACUGGGGCGCAUACCGGGGAUGAUCUCCUGCUGCGUGGGGGGGGUUGGAGAGUUUCGGCGGUUGUGGAUGGACUGGCGGGUUAUCAGCUUGUUUGUGUGGUAGUGGCGUACCAAGGCUAUGACGGGUAGCCCGCCUGAGAGGGUGAACGGCGACCUUGGGACUGAGAGACGGCCCAGAAUGCUAUCGGAGGCAGCAGUCGAGAACAUGACACAACGGGGGGAAGCCUGAGGCAGCAACGCCCCGAGCGGGAUGACGGCUUUCGGGGUGUGAACAGAUUUGGCCUGUGACGAAGCGUGAGUGACGGUAAUGGGUAAAGAAGCAACGGCUAACUACGUG